Molecule: long non-coding RNA, 1153 nt
Organism: Mercenaria mercenaria
Lineage: Eukaryota; Metazoa; Mollusca; Bivalvia; Venerida; Veneridae
Exons: 4
Source: RefSeq, a predicted model, not a curated record
UCCUACACCAAUUUUUCAUAAAAGUUCUAUCACAAAUUAACGAAAAAAUGAAAAGAAAAUAGGGGGUUGAAUAGUUCCUAGUGAAAUGCCAGUCAGUUGUGGUCUGCUACCCUAAAAAUGGCGCAUAUUUGCUCUCCUCCGCGCAAUAAACACCUACUUCCGGUUUCGAUCUGCAAAACUUGCCAUGUGGGUUGUAUGAACAUGAAAACCGUCUCAUUUCAUGCAGAAUGUAUUCUAGUAGCGAAAAAGUGUGAUUAAAGCACUCGUUCUACACGAAUUUGCGCAGAAAAUGGGAAAAUUAGGAUCUAUUUAUUAUGGACUUCUUUCGACUACACCACGGAAGCACAUUUUCGACCGAAUUACUGACCUUACUCCUUCAUGUUGUUGAUCGGAGUUUUUAAAAUUCGUGGAAGUAUUUAAAAUGCGCCCUGUACAGAUUAUAUGUCAAAUCAUGGCUUCUCCACCUGUUUCCAUGUUGUCUGCUGUUGGAAGAACAUCUAUGAGGGACUGUGAAUAGAAUCUUUAUCUUCUGCUUAUAUACAACACUUACUCAUGGGCCAGUGGCACAAUUUCUAGCUGUACAAGGAUAUCAUGGUGUUUGUAAGUAAGUUGAUGACAAUGAAACUAAUGACCAUGUUAACAUCAGAGGAAAAGCAAACUGGGAGAAGAAAGGACAACAUUGUUUUCGAUCUUGAAGGCCUGCGUAGACAUAGGACCAGGAAGGGGAGCUAGGAGUGGGAGAAGUGCCUGUGACUGAUAUAUAUGCACUAUCAGAUAGAAAUCCAGUUCAAAAGGAAAUCUGAAAUAGUGAAAUAGCAGAAAUCAUGACUUACAUACUGUGUAAUCUGCUCUAAAACACAAACACUUGAAUUUAAAAUGUGUUAAAUGCAAAACAGUUCUACUUACAAAAUGAAUCUUUCAGUAAAUUCUAAAUGCAGCUGAAAAGUGAUAUACAUGAAAUGUGUGAAAACAGUGCAAGUUAAGUUUGAUUUUUUGUUGUAUACAAAACUGAAGAACUUUUAUCCAAUUCAUUUUCUGGAUGCACAGUGUUAUUGGAAUUUUUUUCAGAUAAUUUAAAAUUCUACAAGGUGAAGAUAUUUCAAAUAGUAUCUUGAGAAAAAAAGUUUGCACAAUGAAUUGUUUUUCAAAAAUU